CUACGGGGGGCACCAGUGGGGAAUAUUGCACAAUGGGCGCAAGCCUGAUGCAGCCAUGCCGCGUGUAUGAAGAAGGCCUUCGGGUUGUAAAGUACUUUCAGCGGGGAGGAAGGGAGUAAAGUUAAUACCUUUGCUCAUUGACGUUACCCGCAGAAGGAGCACCGGCUAACUCCGUGCCAGCAGCCGCGGUAAUACGGAGGGUGCAAGCGUUAAUCGGAAUUACUGGGCGUAAAGCGCACGCAGGCGGUUUGUUAAGUCAGAUGUGAAAUCCCCGGGCUCAACCUGGGAACUGCAUCUGAUACUGGCAAGCUUGAGUCUCGUAGAGGGGGGUAGAAUUCCAGGUGUAGCGGUGAGAUGCGUAGAGAUCUGGAGGAAUACCGGUGGCGAAGGCGGCCCCCUGGACGAAGACUGACGCUCAGGUGCGAAAGCGUGGGGAGCAAACAGGAUUAGAUACCCCAGUAGUC
RNAcentral lists this ribosomal RNA (464 nucleotides) under uncultured bacterium. RNAcentral's name for it is "partial 16S ribosomal RNA". It matches the Rfam family "Bacterial small subunit ribosomal RNA", at positions 339 to 795 of the family's 1533-position model. The record is from RNAcentral.